AUACGGAGGGUGCGAGCGUUAAUCGGGAUUACUGGGCGUAAAGGGUGCGUAGGCGGCUUGAUAAGUCGGAUGUGAAAGCCCCGGGCUUAACCUGGGAAUUGCAUUCGAUACUGUCAGGCUAGAGUAUGUCAGAGGUUGGCGGAAUUCCUGGUGUAGCGGUGAAAUGCGUAGAUAUCAGGAGGAACACCAGUGGCGAAGGCGGCUAACUGGGGCAAUACUGACGCUGAGGCACGAAAGCGUGGGGAGCAAACAGGAUUAGAAACCCCUGUAGUCC
This 274-nucleotide ribosomal RNA is filed under the name uncultured bacterium. Its description in RNAcentral is "partial 16S ribosomal RNA". It matches the Rfam family "Bacterial small subunit ribosomal RNA", at positions 523 to 796 of the family's 1533-position model. The record is from RNAcentral.